UUUAAUGGCCGCAGUAUUUUGACUGUGCAAAGGUAGCAUAAUCAUUAGUUUCUUAAUUAGAAACUGGAAUGAAAGGUUGAACGAAAGAAUAACUGUCUCUUUAUAAAUUUUUUAGAAUUUUAUUUUUAAGUUAAAAAGCUUAAAUUUUUUUAAAAGACGAGAAGACCCUAUAGAGUUUUAUAUUAAUAUUAAAAAUAAAAUUAUUUGAAUAUAUUUAUAAUAUAUUAUUAUUAUUAUUAUUUAAUUGGGGUGAUUAAAAAAUUUAAUAAACUUUUUUUUAUUAAACCAUAAAUAUAUGAUUAAUUGAUCCAUUUUUAUGAUUAUAAGAUUAAAUUACCUUAGGGAUAACAGCGUAAUUUUUUUUAAGAGUUCUUAUCGAUAAAAAAGUUUGCGACCUCGAUGUUGGAUUAAAAUUAAUUUUUGGUGUAGAAGCUAAAAUAUUAGGUCUGUUCGACCUUUAAAAUUUUACAUGAUCUGAGUUUAAACCGGUGUAAGCCAGGUUGGUUUCUAUCUUUAAAUAUAAAUAUUUAAUAUUUUAGUACGAAAGGACCAAUUAUUAAUAAUAAUUAUUUAUUAUUGAGUAAUAUUAAAUU
RNAcentral lists this ribosomal RNA (593 nucleotides) under Amarochara sp. ZMUN 10029207. Its description in RNAcentral is "partial 16S ribosomal RNA". The stretch from base 344 to 502 matches the Rfam family "Bacterial large subunit ribosomal RNA", at positions 2473 to 2632 of the family's 2925-position model. The record is from RNAcentral. Lineage: Eukaryota; Metazoa; Arthropoda; Insecta; Coleoptera; Staphylinidae.